RNAcentral lists this unclassified non-coding RNA (837 nucleotides) under Hevea brasiliensis (rubber tree). Lineage: Eukaryota; Viridiplantae; Streptophyta; Magnoliopsida; Malpighiales; Euphorbiaceae. The record is from RNAcentral.
UCACCAGGAGUACCCUCCUGGUGUUAUAAUUGUACCUAUGAAAAGUAGGACAGCGAAGCCUUUCCAUACAACAAACUUGAUUAUAUUUGCACCUCAGAGUGUCUCAGCAGAAUGUGGGGAUUAUGGUUUUGUAGCUCGUGGUGAUGCAUUGAUAGUGGAUCCAGGAUGUCUUGCUGAUUUUCAUGGGGAGCUCUUGAAAAUUGUCUCUGCUCUCUCCAGAAAGUUAGUUGUCUUUGUCACCCAUCACCACCAUGACCAUGUUGAUGGUCUUUCUAUCAUCCAAAGGUGUAAUCCUGACGCUACUUUAUUAGCACACAAGAACACCAUGCGCCGCAUUGGAAAAGAGGAUUGGUCUCUUGGCUAUACCUCAGUUUCUGGAGGAGAAGAGAUUUGCAUUGGUGGUCAAAGGUUGAAAGUCAUUUUUGCUCCAGGACAUACAGACGGCCAUGUGGCACUGCUUCAUAUCAGCACUCACUCAUUGAUUGUAGGGGAUCAUUGUGUGGGUCAAGGAAGUGCAGUCUUGGAUGUUACUUCUGGAGGGAAUAUGGCUGAUUACUUCCAGUCAACUUACAAAUUUAUUGAGCUUGCUCCACAUGCUUUGAUCCCAAUGCAUGGGAGAGUCAAUCUGUGGCCAAAGCACAUGCUUUGUGCAUAUCUCAAGAAUCGCCGGAGUAGAGAAGCAGCCAUCUUGAAAGCUAUAGAAAAUGGAGCAAAGACAUUAAUUGACAUAGUUGCCAGUGUUUAUUGUGACGUGGAUCGCAGAGCUUGGAUUGCUGCUGCAUCAAAUGUGCGGCUUCAUGCUGAUCAUCUGGCUCGGCAAAAUAAAUUACCGAAGGA